GUGCUUACUUCAGCACCACAUAUACUAAAAUUAAAACAAUACAGAGAAGAUUAGAAUGGCCCUUGCACACGGAAGACAUGCAAAUUCAUGAAGCAUUCUGUAUUUUU
Otolemur garnettii (small-eared galago) is the source of this 107-nucleotide small nuclear RNA. The record is from Ensembl. NCBI's taxonomy places the organism in Eukaryota, Metazoa, Chordata, Mammalia, Primates, Galagidae.